RNAcentral lists this unclassified non-coding RNA (404 nucleotides) under soil metagenome. RNAcentral's name for it is "partial contains 5.8S ribosomal RNA, internal transcribed spacer 2, and large subunit ribosomal RNA". The stretch from base 1 to 121 matches the Rfam family "5.8S ribosomal RNA", at positions 35 to 154 of the family's 154-position model. The record is from RNAcentral.
GAUGAAGAACGUAGUGAAAUGCGAUAAGUAAUGUGAAUUGCAGAAUUCAGUGAAUCAUCGAAUCUUUGAACGCACCUUGCGCCCUUUGGCUAUUGCGAAGGGCAUGCCUGUUUGAGUAUCAUGAACACCUCAACUCUCAUGGUUUGCCAUGAUGAGCUUGGACUUUGGGGGUCUUGCCGGCCUAUGGGUCGGCUCCUCUCAAAUUAAUCAGCUUGCCAGUGUUUGGUGGCAUCACAGGUGUGAUAACUAUCUACGCUUGUGGUUUUCCAUCAGGUAACCUUCAGUGAUGGAGGUUCGCUGGGGCUCAUAAAUGUCUCUCCUCAGUGAGGACAGCUUUUUUGAACGUUUGAUCUCAAAUCAGGUAGGACUACCCGCUGAACUUAAGCAUAUCAAUAAGCGGAGGA